This 491-nucleotide ribosomal RNA is filed under the name uncultured bacterium. RNAcentral describes it as "partial 16S ribosomal RNA". It matches the Rfam family "Bacterial small subunit ribosomal RNA", at positions 28 to 507 of the family's 1533-position model. The record is from RNAcentral.
GAUGAACGCUGGCUACAGGCUUAACACAUGCAAGUCGAGGGGAAACGCCGGGGAAGCUUGCUUCCCCGGGCGUCGACCGGCGCACGGGUGAGUAACGCGUAUCCAACCUGCCUCUGACUGAGGGAUAACCCGUCGAAAGUCGGCCUAAUACCUCAUGGUAUCGUCUGCGGGCAUCCAACGACGAUUAAAGAUUUCAUCGGUCAGAGAUGGGGAUGCGUCUGAUUAGCUUGUUGGCGGGGUAACGGCCCACCAAGGCGACGAUCAGUAGGGGUUCUGAGAGGAAGGUCCCCCACAUUGGAACUGAGACACGGUCCAAACUCCUACGGGAGGCAGCAGUGAGGAAUAUUGGUCAAUGGGCGAGAGCCUGAACCAGCCAAGUAGCGUGCAGGAUGACGGCCCUAUGGGUUGUAAACUGCUUUUAUGCGGGGAUAAAGUGAGGGACGUGUCCUUCAUUGCAGGUACCGCAUGAAUAAGGACCGGCUAAUUCCGUG